RNAcentral lists this ribosomal RNA (718 nucleotides) under Nocardiopsis dassonvillei subsp. dassonvillei. RNAcentral's name for it is "bacterial SSU rRNA". It matches the Rfam family "Bacterial small subunit ribosomal RNA", at positions 38 to 760 of the family's 1533-position model. Lineage: Bacteria; Bacillati; Actinomycetota; Actinomycetes; Streptosporangiales; Nocardiopsidaceae. The record is from RNAcentral.
GGCGGCGUGCUUAACACAUGCAAGUCGAGCGGUAAGGCCCUUCGGGGUACACGAGCGGCGAACGGGUGAGUAACACGUGAGCAACCUGCCCCUGACUCUGGGAUAAGCGGUGGAAACGCCGUCUAAUACCGGAUACGACCCGCCACCUCAUGGUGGAGGGUGGAAAGUUUUUCGGUCAGGGAUGGGCUCGCGGCCUAUCAGCUUGUUGGUGGGGUAACGGCCUACCAAGGCGAUUACGGGUAGCCGGCCUGAGAGGGCGACCGGCCACACUGGGACUGAGACACGGCCCAGACUCCUGCGGGAGGCAGCAGUGGGGAAUAUUGCGCAAUGGGCGAAAGCCUGACGCAGCGACGCCGCGUGGGGGAUGACGGCCUUCGGGUUGUAAACCUCUUUUACCACCAACGCAGGCUUCCAGUUCUCUGGGGGUUGACGGUAGGUGGGGAAUAAGGACCGGCUAACUACGUGCCAGCAGCCGCGGUAAUACGUAGGGUCCGAGCGUUGUCCGGAAUUAUUGGGCGUAAAGAGCUCGUAGGCGGCGUGUCGCGUCUGCUGUGAAAGACCGGGGCUUAACUCCGGUUCUGCAGUGGAUACGGGCAUGCUAGAGGUAGGUAGGGGAGACUGGAAUUCCUGGUGUAGCGGUGAAAUGCGCAGAUAUCAGGAGGAACACCGGUGGCGAAGGCGGGUCUCUGGGCCUUACCUGACGCUGAGGAGCGAAAGC